RNAcentral lists this non-coding RNA (88 nucleotides) under uncultured Thiogranum sp. Its description in RNAcentral is "Glycine riboswitch". The stretch from base 17 to 83 matches the Rfam family "Glycine riboswitch aptamer", at positions 11 to 84 of the family's 94-position model. Rfam says of the family: This family represents the bacterial glycine riboswitch. Lineage: Bacteria; Pseudomonadati; Pseudomonadota; Gammaproteobacteria; Chromatiales; Ectothiorhodospiraceae. The record is from RNAcentral.
GCGGGAGAGGAUCGGCCGGGACAGAGUCCAGAGCCGGCCGCCGAAGGCGCAACUCGCUCGGAAUCGCUCAGGCAAAAGGACCGUAGCA